Molecule: ribosomal RNA, 460 nt
Filed under: uncultured bacterium
Lineage: Bacteria
Description: partial 16S ribosomal RNA
Rfam family: Bacterial small subunit ribosomal RNA
Source: RNAcentral
CCUACGGGUGGCAGCAGUGAGGAAUAUUGGUCAAUGGGCGCAAGCCUGAACCAGCCAAGUCGCGUGAGGGAUGACGGUCCUAUGGGUUUUAAACCUCUUUUGUCGGGGAGCAAGGCCCGCCACGUGUGGCGGGCAGGAGAGUACCCGAAGAAAAAGCAUCGGCUAACUCCGUGCCAGCAGCCGCGGUAAUACGGAGGAUGCGAGCGUUAUCCGGAUUUAUUGGGUUUAAAGGGUGCGUAGGCGGAAGGUUAAGUCAGCGGUAAAAUGUCGGUGCUCAACACCGGCCGGCCGUUGAAACUGGUCUUCUUGAGUGAGCGAGAAGUAUGCGGAAUGCGUGGUGUAGCGGUGAAAUGCAUAGAUAUCACGCAGAACUCCGAUUGCGAAGGCAGCAUACCGGCGCUCAACUGACGCUGAGGCACGAAAGCGUGGGGAUCGAACAGGAUUAGAUACCCGAGUAGUC